Molecule: transfer RNA, 68 nt
Filed under: Dasycercus cristicauda (Crest-tailed Mulgara)
Lineage: Eukaryota; Metazoa; Chordata; Mammalia; Dasyuromorphia; Dasyuridae
Description: tRNA-His
Rfam family: tRNA
About the family: Transfer RNA (tRNA) molecules are approximately 80 nucleotides in length. Their secondary structure includes four short double-helical elements and three loops (D, anti-codon, and T loops).
Source: RNAcentral
GCAAACAUAGUUUAAAAAAACUUUAGAUUGUGAAUCUAAAAUUAGGAGUUAAAAUCUCUUUGUAUGCC